This 718-nucleotide long non-coding RNA is filed under the name Podarcis muralis (Common wall lizard). RNAcentral's name for it is "lncRNA (ENSPMRG00000002447.1)". Lineage: Eukaryota; Metazoa; Chordata; Lepidosauria; Squamata; Lacertidae. The record is from RNAcentral.
CCCUCGCCUCCUGCUUAAUUUCUGGAGAAGCCAAUUGGCUUAACCCCCCCCCCGAUUGACCGUAGCUUUUCCCCAGAGAAGGAGCCGCGCGCGUUAUCUGCCUUCCCCAGUUGGAGUUUGCGGCGUGAGAAAGCGGGGCUGGCGAGCACCUGCCUCUUAGUCAUCCCUGGGCUUGAGGAUGUCCCCAGAUUACAUCUUCUCAGCUGUUUGCAAAACAGCGCUGGGAGGAGCGCGAGCCCCGAAUUACACACAGCCGCGGCUGUCCCUUUAAAUGCUGGGGUCUGCGCGCCGGAGAGGGGAGGGGCCGGCUCCGGAGUGCGUGAAAUUCCUGGGCUCCUCCGACAGUCUCAGGCAGAGCGCUCCGCUCUACGCAUCUCUCCUCGCACGCAACUCGCGGAGAGAGGGGCUGAGGCGCGCCAAAGCUUUCCCUCGCUCCUCGCUGCCUGCAUCGCGCGUUCCCUCAGCCUGCUUCGCAGCCCGCGUUUUUGCGCCUCCGACAACGCCCUCCCGGUCCCGCCUCGCGCUUCCCCUCCCACCACACUCUCUUGCUGAGAGAGAGAGAGAGAGAGAGGCAAGAGACACCCCUGGAUUUCUUAGCGGCCCCCCAAAGAAGGAAACAAACAAAGAGUUGGUUAAACAACCCCACUCGCUUCUCAACUACCAAGAAAUGCCUGCCGUCCUUGUAUUGGACAUGUCUAGAAGGCCUGCACAAUUUGUG